Molecule: long non-coding RNA, 3702 nt
Organism: Macaca mulatta (Rhesus monkey)
Lineage: Eukaryota; Metazoa; Chordata; Mammalia; Primates; Cercopithecidae
Source: Ensembl
ACAUAAUUUUAAUUUUGUUUUAAUUUUUGUAAAUUAUAUAUAUGAAUUGGUAUUUACUAUACUAAUAUAUCAAGGUAAAAACUUCAGUCUUUGUUCUCAGCUGUGCUGAACAAAGUUUCGAUUUUAUAGUCUCCAAUUGUUGAAACUCCUCUCUAUGGGACGAAAAGAAAACUUAUACCUGAAAUUCUCUGUUUCCUGGGUUAAUGAGUUUCUUUUUAGACCAAAGAGUCUACUUAAAGCUUAACUUAACUCUUUAUCAGAGUUGGCUUUAUGCAGUUACUUUUUGGUUUCUUUGUUUUUGUUUUUGUUUUUGAGUUGGAGUUUCAUUGUGUCGCCCAGGCUGGAGUGCAGUGGCGCAGUCUCAGCUCACUGCAACCUUCGUCUCCCAGGUUCACGUGACUGUUCCACCUCAGCCUCCCGAAUAGCUGGGAUUACAGGCACACACCACCAUACCCAGCUAAUUUUUGUAUUUUUUGGGAGAGAUGCAGUUUCGCCAUUUUGGCCAGGCUGGUCUUGAACUCCUGACCUAAAGUGAUCUACCUGUCUUGGCCUCCCAAAGUGCUGUGAUUGCAGGCAUGAGCCACCAUGCCCAGCCUAUGCAGUUACCUUUAUGUUCAUCAUUCUCUUUAGGUUAUGAGUCUUUGGAGUGUCAGUCUUUGCACUGCUGCCUUCAGGAUCAUUUCUGGAGGAUUGCAGAGAGAAGUUGGUUAGACUGGGCAGCCAACUGCAAUGGCAGAGUAGACCAGAAGCAAGGGAGGAAUAACAAGACAGGAAAAUGGAAGAGGCAGAGAGAGUCUCAAGGUCCAGGGUUAAAAGAACAGGUUCUAUACUGAAUGAUGAACCAAGAAAUAGUUCUGCCAGUAAAGUGAAAGGGGACAAUGCAGGAGGAAUAGCAAAGAUCACAACGAAGAGAGAAGUGCCUGGAAGCAGAAAGAAGGCUGCAGUGAGAGGAGGAGUCACAUACAUUGGCAGGUGGUCUCUCUCUCUCUGCCAGGGACUGUGAACCCUGCCAUUUGCCAUUAAUUGCCUUUGCUGCUUAGGUUUGUUUGUCAAUUUGGGGUCUUGGUGAAAACACAUAAUUUAUUCUCCAGUAUUUUUCUAUUCAGACUUAGGAACUGAUUCAAUUAUGGUCAGAUUCUAUGAUGAACAAUAAUUAUUGAAACCAAUACAUUAGCGUAAAAAAGAAAAGAAGGAAGGAGGAAAGAAAAGGAAAGAGAUAAGAAGAAAGUGAGAACAAGAGGAAAGAGGGAGCCGGGUGCGGUGGCUCACACCGGUAAUCCCAGCACUUUGGGAGGCCGAGGUGGGCAGAUCACGAGAUCAGGAGAUCGAGACCAUCCUGGCUAACACGGUGAAACCCCGUCUCUACUAAAAAUACAAAAAAUUAUCCGGUGUGGUGGCAGAUGCCUGUAGUUCCAGUUGCUCAGGAGGCUGAGGCAGAAGAAUGGUGUGAAUCUGGGAGGCAGAGUUGGCAGUGAGUCGACAUCACGCCAUUGCACUCCAGCCUGGGUGACAGAGCGAGACUCUGUUCCAAAAAAAUAAAAAUAAAAAGAGGAGAGAGGGAAAAAGGAAUGGAGAAAGAAAUAGGGGGAAAGAAAGAAAGAGGAAAAACUCUGAGAGAGUAAAGAUAUAGAAAACAAUUUUCCAUAUAGAGGAACUGAGAUAAUGUAUUAGUCUGUUCUCACAUUGCUGAUAAAGACAUACCUGAGACUGGGUAAUUUAUAAAGAAAAAGAGAUUUAAUGGACUCACAGUUCCAUGUGGCUGGGGAGGCCUCACAAUCAUGGCGGAAGGCAAAAGGCAACUCUUACAUGACAGCAGACAAGAGAGAAUGAAAAACUAAGUGAAAGGGGAAACCCCUUAUAAAAUCAUCGGAUCUCAUAAGACUUAUUUCUACCACAAGAACAGUAUGGGGGAAACAGCCCCCAUGAUUCAAUUGUCUCCAACUGGGUCCAUCACACAACAUGGAAUUAUGGGAGCUACAAUUCAAAAUGAAAUUUGGGUGGAGACACAGCCAAACCAUAUCAGAUGACAAGUAUUUUUAUCUUUGAAUCCUUAAACAUCUAUUUUUGUGAACAUUUAAUACCCAAUUAGAAUAAUCAGAAAACACAAUCCUACUACAUAUGCCAGCAUCUCAGAGAUAUUGUGGUUUUGGUUCCAGACCCCACCAUAAAUGGAACAAAUAGUACAGUAAGGUGAGUCACACAAUUUUUUUAUUUCCCUGUACAUAUAAAAUGUAUUUAUGUUUAUAUGAUACUGUAAGUAAAUGUGCAAUAGCAUUACAUAUAUAUAUGUGUAUAGUAAUUUUAAAAUACUUUAUUGCUAAUAAAUGCAAAGAACAAACAAUUGGAGCUUUCAACAAGUCAUAAUGUUUUGGCUGGUGGAGGGAUGGUCUUGCCCUGAGAUGGAUGGAUGGCUGCUCACUGAUCAGAUUGGAGUGACUGUGGCAAAUAAGAUAAUAAUGAAGUUUGCUGCAUAAAUUGACUGUUCACUUCAUGAAAGAUGGAUCUGUAGCAUGUGAUGCUGUUUGGUAGCAUUUUACUCAUAGUAGAACUUCUUUCAAAGUUGGGGUCAAUCCUCUUAAACCCUGCUGCUGCUUUAUUAAUUAGAUUUCUGUAAUAUUCUAAAUCUUUUGUUGUCAUUUCAACAAUGUUCAUGGCAUCUUCAUAAGUGGAUUAACCACGUUCUUUGCUCAUCCAUAAGAAGUAACUCCUCACUAUGAAAGUUUGAUCGUAAGACUGUGGCAUUCAGUCAUAUCUUCAGAGGCUCCACUUCUAAUUCUUGUUCUCUUGCUAUUCCAUCACAUCCAUAGUUACUUCCUGCACUGAAGUCUUGAACCCUCCAAAGUCAUUAAUGAGGGUUGGAAUCAACUUCUUCCAACCUCCUAUAUAUUGAUAGUCUGACCUCCUCCCAUUAAUCACAAAUGUUGCUAAUGGCAUCUAGAAAGAUUUAUCCUUCCCAGAAGUUUUCAAUUUACUUUACUCAGAUCCAUCAGAAGAAUCGCUGUUGAUGGAGCAAUAGCCUUAUCAAUGUAUUUCUUAAAUAAUAAGACAUGCAAGUCACAAUUACUCCUUGGUCUAUGUGCUGCAGAAUAGAUGUUAUGUUAACAGGCAUGAAAACAACAUUAAUAUUCUUGUACAUCUCCAUCAGAGCUCUUGGGUGAAUAGGUGUCUUGUCAAUGAACAGUAAUGUUUUGAAAGGAAUCUUCUUUUUGAGCAUGGGGUCUCAACAAUGCUCAAAUAUUUGAAGCAUUUAAGAAAAAAUGCUUAAAAUAUUUGUUCCAAUUAUAGAGCAUAGGUAGACUGACCACGAAUCUUAAGGUCACCAGAAUUUUCAGAAUGGUAAAUGAGCACUGGGUCUUCAGCCUAAAGUCACCAGCUGCAUUAUGCCCUAAUGAGAGAGUCUGCCUGUCUUUGAUGAUUUGAAGCCAGGCAUUGACUUCUCUUCUCUAGCUAUGAAAGUCCUAGAUGGCAUCUUUUUUUUCUUUUAAUAGAAAGUUGUUUUGUCUACAUUGAAAUCUGUCGUUUUGUGUAGCCACCUUUAUCAGUGAUCUUACUAGAUAUUCUGGAUAACUUGCUGCAGCUUCUUCACCAGCAGCUGAUGCUUUACCUUGCACUUUUAUGUUAUAGAGAUGACUUCUUUCCCUAAAUCUUACAAAUCAACAUCUACUAUCUUCAGACUUUUCCUCUGCAGCUUUCUCAGCUCUC